Molecule: long non-coding RNA, 1346 nt
Filed under: Glycine max (soybean)
Lineage: Eukaryota; Viridiplantae; Streptophyta; Magnoliopsida; Fabales; Fabaceae
Description: long non-coding RNA (GMAX_LNC003038)
Source: RNAcentral
ACACUACUUGAUCUUAUCUGAGCAGAGGAAGCCACGGCGCGUUUGUUGCCUUUCCUAUCCUUUCAUUUGCAGCGGCGACGGUGGCGGCGGAGCCUCCGUCAUUGGCGGCUCUGCCCCCGGGCCCGCCGCGACUGAAAGACGAAAUUCGCCGUCGGAACCCUGCAAUGAAGACUGCCCGCGGUCAGAGCCCCUUUCUCUGUUUCACAUUGCUUGGGGCAGUGAUGGCCACGCGGGCUCAACAAAUUUAUCAUUCCCUACUGUUUAUUUUUUCUUUUUGUGAAUUGUCGGUGCCGUGUUGUUUAGUCGAGCUUUGAUGUUUUGUGCAUUUCUUUUGUUUGUUAAUUAAUGCCAGUUUUCUGUUUUUGGAUAUAAUUAUGCUAUAUUUUUUCUUAUGAAGUUUGAUUUAACUAUUUUUUUAAUUGUUUGUUCUUUUUUUAAAAUGUAUAUUGUUCACAUCUCUAAUUUUUGGAGGCUGAUCUCUGUUUAAGAUGUUUGCAAAUUAGGAGUGUAUUUUUAUUUAUUUUAUUUAUUCACUUCUUUUGUAGCUGAUUAAUUGGUUUGGCAGGUUAAGUAUGGCAUAGGCAUCUGAAGCUUCAUAAGGCAUGAGGAGAUUUUCAUGCGAUGCGUGUCAUGCUUAAUGGUAUUUUGAUCUGUAUCUUUAUAUUAUUAAACUUAUACUCAUGAGCCUGCUUGUAAUUUAAUUUAGUACACCCAAUUUAUACGUAUCCAUUAUUCCAUUUGGUAUAAUAAUCGUCAACCUCAAACUUGAAUUACUAGUGUGUGUAUAUAUAGUCACGCGUAAGAACUAGCUUCCAAUUGGUACAAUACAAUUUUGGGUUCAUUCAGUGUUUUAUGUGUUACGGGAUCCAUUGUGUUUUAUGCCUUACAGUUGACCGCGUAUGCUUCUAUUUCAUGUUUGUAUGGUUUAUUAUUUCCACAUUUUUGUUUAUUGACAGCUGCUAGUGACCCUCUAUAUUCUUAAGCAUUUCUAUUGAUUAAAAUUUAUCGAAUUGAAUAUUGUCUAAUAGGUUUAACCUAAUACGGUUUUUUUUUAGUAAGGUGUUGAAAUGCUUCGUUAUUUUUCUCUAUUUCUAUCAAUCUAGAAUUGCCAUUGUCAAUGCAGUACAGUGUAUUGCAUUUUUCUGCAUAACCUGGCUUACAGGUAAUCAGAUGUCACUUAUCCUGGUAACGAAAUAAUAGGUUUAACAAAAUAAUUUUUUCAAAUUAAGUAGUUUUUUAAAUAGGUAGAAAAAAUUCAAAAUUUCAUGCCAUGACACUUGUAAAAUUGUUUAUAACAUAGGUCAAAACUAAAGAUGCAUUACAAAUCAAAUAAUAUUAGGAUUUGG